RNAcentral lists this transfer RNA (68 nucleotides) under Praomys daltoni complex sp. clade C1. RNAcentral's name for it is "tRNA-Thr". The record is from RNAcentral. Lineage: Eukaryota; Metazoa; Chordata; Mammalia; Rodentia; Muridae.
GUCCUAAUAGUAUAACCUAUUACCCUGGUCUUGUAAACCAGAAAUGAAGAAAUAGUCUUCUUAGGACA